GUUUGUGUAGUUUAAAUAAAACAUUUGUUUUGUAAACUUAAAAUUGAUACGUCACUCAAACU
RNAcentral lists this transfer RNA (62 nucleotides) under Cryptopygus antarcticus travei. RNAcentral's name for it is "tRNA-Thr". Lineage: Eukaryota; Metazoa; Arthropoda; Collembola; Entomobryomorpha; Isotomidae. The record is from RNAcentral.